CUUGGGCCGCUCCAGCGGCAUAUGGAGGUUCCCAGGCUAGGGGUCGAAUCGGAGCUAUAGCCACUGGCCUACGCUAGAGUCACAGCAACGCGAGAUACGAGCCGCGUCUGCAACCUACACCACAGCUCACCGCAACGCCAGAUCGUUAACCCACUGAGCAAGGGCAGGGACCGAACCCGCAACCUCAUGGUUCCUAGUCGGAUUCGUUAACCACUGAGCCACGACGGGAACUCCAAUAAGCAGGCUUUUAAUAUUGGAAGAAAGGCCCUAACAUAAUGAAAGCCUACACUAUGACCAGCAUCUUAACAGACACUUUAAUAGUAUUUCAUUUAAAAAAUCACCCAGGGGCUGGCUAGCUGCCCAAAUGGGGAAUGGGGUGACAGCCCUAAAUUCACACAUCCCCAGGCACCUCCCAGUAGCUGUUCCCUGGGCCGACACCUAUGCCAGUGUGCUUUACUGCAAACCCUGGGUAAGAGAUGAGUGGGCAAAACAGGCAGGGAGGAAGAAGGAUAAAUGGGAUGCAAUAAAACCCAGCCGGUUUGUCUUCAAGGCAGGAGUCCAAUAAAUCCAGAGGCACCUGUGCUUGUGACAUUCUGGAGGCUGAAGCUGCCACUGGGCUGGGCUUGGCUUGCUGGGAUACAGCAGUAAUUCCAAGGAGAUGAGAGAAAAGACUGUCAGGAGAGGGAAGAACCCCAUCUGUGAAGCCAGGGCAGCUUAGGACACAUGGUGAAAGAAGGGACAUUUGUACCAACCUGUCUGUGUAGGUGGAGAACCUGCUUCCCUGUACACAGAAUGCACUCACUCAUCUCUGUUAGCUCCCUCCUCAUGCCCCUCUCUUCCUUCUCAAGGAUUUAUCCCCAGGGUUUGUGAGACCCCCUUUGACUUAUUUAACAUGGAGCCAAGAUGAAUUCCUCGUGAACUAGAGACUGUUAGCUCUCCUUGCAUUUCUCUAAGAAAAUGGUCUGGGACUUCCUCUUGGUACUUGGCACGACUGAGUUUUGCCACAAUACAGGGGGCAGAAGAGAGCUGUGUGGUUCCAACUUGAGGGCUUAAAGAUCACCUGGAGACUGAGCUAGAAAUACAGACUGCAGUUUUACACCAGCAAUUCUGAUUCGCUGGGCGCCUCUGUGAGUCUGCAUUUACUUGUAAGCCAUCUAUUGAUCACAAUUUGAGAAGCUGAGAGAAAAGUGUCAUUUAGAGUGGAUCCAUUAGCCCUGGAUUAACAAGAACUCCAGGUGGAGCUGAGAAAAACAUCCUAGUGAGGGGCCUCAAUCCAUAUUCAUCACCUUUUAAAAGUUACUAAGAUCCUGGUUAUCUCUAACAGGUUGAACAUAAUAUUUUGUAUUCCAACAAUAAGGCAAUGAAAUUCUAAAAAUAGAGAUGAAGGGAGUUCUUGUCUGAGAAGUCAGGAGUUCCCAUUGUGGCUGGGCAGUUUAAGAACACAACACAGUACCAACGAGGAUGUGGAUUGGAUCCCUGGCCUCGCCCAUUGGGUUAAGGAUUUGGUGUUGCUGCAAGCUAUGAUGUAGGUCACAAAUGUGGCUUGGAUCCCUUGUUGCUGUGGCUGUGGUGUAGGCCGUCAGCUGCAGCUCUGAUUCAACCCCUAUCCUGGGAACUUCCAUAUGCCACAUGUGUGGCCCUAAAAAUAAAAAUAGAUAGAUAGAUAGAUAGAUAGAUAGAUAGAUAGAUAGAUAGAUAGAUGAUAGAUAGAUACGUACAUACAUACAUACAUGAGAAUAGGAAGGCGAUCCUGAAUUAACUGGGUGGGCCCAGUGCAAUCACAUGAGCUCUUCAAAGUAGAAGAGAAAAGCAGAAGGGAAAGUCAGAUCGGAAGAGGAAAAAUGAUUUAGCAUGCUAUUUCUCACUUGAAGAUGGAGGAGCUAUGUAAGAAUGAGUAUGAGUGGAAGCUGACAGUGCCAACAACAAAGAUGUCAGUCCUACAACCACAAAGACUAGAUUAUGCCAACACCCUGAGUGCAUUUGAAAGUGGUAUCUUCUCCAGAGCCUUCAGAUAACAGCUCAGCUCUUGACACCUUGAUUUCAACUUUGGAGUACCCUAAGCAGAACCCAGAAGUGCCUGCCUGGAUUCUCCAUCCACAGAAUCAUGAGGCAGUAAGUACAUACUAUUUUAAGCUGCCAAGUGUUUGUUACACUAGAAAUUAAUCUAAGCACUUUUAUUUGUGAAUGUUUUGAUCUGGAUUUUUUUUGUUUUGCUUUGGUUUGGUUGGGCUUUUGAUAUUCUAAGACUUGAAUUCAUUGCUGGAUGAUUUCUCACAUCCAGGCUUCCUGCCUCUUUUUGAAGACCCUGUGAGAUUACAUGUCUUCAGAAAGCUUUCCCUAAUAGAGUCAUCUUUUAUCAUGGACAGUGAUGGUCUUUGCCAGAGAAGUCCUUAUUUUGUUGGAAAGUUAAGGCUGUCAUGGAGGUGAUAAAGGAUUGAAUGUAUAUAUGGAGAAGGGGGUAAUGUUUGGGAGCCAAACACAAAAAUAGGUUUAUUAAUUCAUGUAUUCAAGAAAUAUCAAUUGAGCAUCUCCUAUGUUCUAGGUGCUAAAGAUAUACUGGUGAAUAAGAAAACAUCCCUCUCUGAUGAACUCUACAUUCCAGUAGAGGGAGUUAGAUAAUACAUAUGUAAACAACUAAUAAAGAAAAUAUUUCAGACAGUAAUAAGUCCUACAAGGAGAAAAGCUCCAGUAAUAUGUGGCUUCCAGAGAAAGUCACUUUAAAGAGGGUGGCUGCUAAAGUCCUCUCUGGGACAUAUUGUUGAGCUGUGACCUGAAUGAUGAGAAGGGAAAUAUGUCCAAAUAGGAGAAGAGCAAUUGCAAAAGCCCCGAGGUUUUAAGGAGCCUGACACAUUAACUGAACAGGGGAGAAAAGGAUCGUUUGACAAAGCCGCAGUGAGCCAAGGGGAUGACAUAGCUGAGAUCAGACUGGUAAAUAGAGGCCAGAUCAGUCAGAGCCUUGUAGACCAAAAUUAGAAGUUUGGGGUUGAUUAUCUGCACCAGGCAGCCACUGAAUGUGGAAUAUUAUUGCAACUGCUUCCAGACUACUCUCCCUGUGUUCAGUCCCUUCCUUCCCAGUCGCUCCUCUAUUCUGCUGCACUGAGUGACCCUUGUACAUGGUAGUUCUGGCCAUGUCACUGUUUUAACUCUAAAAACUACCAAUGAAUCCCACUGCCCACAGAGUGAAAUCCAGACUGGAUGGGUGGACCCUCAUGAUAAAUCCCUGUAUUUACUCCCAGGCUUGUUUCUCGGCCUCCCUCACCUUAACUCCAUGGUCAGAGCACAUUAAACUAUGCUCCCAAGAGUUCCCAUUGUGGCUUAGUGUGUUGAGAACCCCACAUAGUGUCCUUGAGGAUGUGGGUUCAAUCCCUGCCCUCCCUCAGUGGGUUAAGGAUCCAGCGUUGCUGCAAGCUGUGGCUAGGUUGCAGAUGCAGCUCUGAUCCAGUGUUGCUGGGGCUGUGGUAUAGUCCCACCGCUACAGACUGCCACUCCAAUUCAGUCCCUAGCCUGGGAAUUUCCAUAUCCUAAGAUGCAGCCAUUAAAAGAAGAAGGAAAAAAGAAAAGAAAAAAAAAAUUAUGCUCCUCCCUCUGAAUAUCCUCUGCUUUUCUCUCCUUCAUGUCUGGAGAGAGGGCAAGGUCAGCACCCAGACUUGCUGUUCUCAAUGUCUUCCUCCUGCCUUUUUUACCUAAGAAACCUAUCUUCCAAAACCUACCCGAGUGAAAGGAAAUAUAUGGAGUUAAAGUAUUCUACUAAAGCCCAUUCAUUGUCUAGGAUGUAGCAAAAGUAUUAAUUUGUUUUUUAAAAAACCAUAGUUGAUUUACAACGUUGUGCCAAUUUCCACUGUACAGUGACCCAGUCAUUCAUACACACACACACAUUUCCUUUCUUAUAUUAUCUUCAUUCAUGGUCUAUCCCAAGAGAAUGGAUAUAGUUGCCUGUGCUAUACAGUAGGACCUCAUUGCUUAUCCAUUCUAAAUGUAAUAGUUUGCAAAUUCUCAGUCCAUCCCACUCCCUCUCUCCAACCCCUUAUCAACCACAGGUCUGUUCCCUGUGUCUAUGAGACUGUUUCUGUUUUGUAGAUAGGUUCAUUUGUUCCAUAUUUUAGAGUCCACAGAUAAGUGAUAUCAUAUAGUAUUUGUCUUUCUCUUUCUGACUUACUUUACUUAGCAUGAUAAUCUCUAGUUGCAUCCAUGUUGCUGCAAAAGGCAUUAUUUCAUUCUGUUUUUAUGGCUGAGUAGUAUUACAUUUUAUAUAUUUACCACAUCUUAAUCCAUUCAUCUGUAGUUGGACAAUUAAGUUGCUUCCGUAUCUUGGCUAUUAUGAAUAGUGCUGCUAUGAACAUAGGUUGCAUGUGUCCAAAAGCAUUAAUUUUUAUUAAACUAUUUUCAGCCAAGAAUGUAUGGUAUGAUGUCUAGGGUAAUCACUAACAAAUAAAAUAAAAUAAUGUAAUAUCUAAAAAGAUAAUAGAGGGUAAAAAUGAAAUUAUUAAAAAUGCUUGAAUAAUUGGAAAGAAAGCAACAAAGAGGAAAAAUGACAAGAUAUAGAUAUAAAUCAAAUAUGUAAUUUUCAGUAUUUACACUGAUGUGUAAAUGGAUCAAAUGCUUCAAUUAAAAUUUAAAGAUGCUGAG
Molecule: long non-coding RNA, 4626 nt
Filed under: Sus scrofa (pig)
Lineage: Eukaryota; Metazoa; Chordata; Mammalia; Artiodactyla; Suidae
Description: lncRNA (ENSSSCG00065045648.1)
Source: RNAcentral